CCAAUAGCGUAUAUUAAAGUUGUUGCAGUUAAAAAGCUCGCAGUUGAAUUUCGGGGUUUGUCCAUCGGUCGGGCUUUAUUGUCCGUACUGGUGUGAUGAAUUCCUACCUUCUGAAUAACCUUUAUGCCAUUAAUUUGGUGCGUUGGGGAAGCAGAGCUGUUACCUUGAAAAAAUUAGAGUGCUUAAAGCAGGCAAGUGCCUGAAUACAUUAGCAUGGAAUAAUGAAAUAGGACGGCAUGGUUCUAUUUUGUUGGUUUCUAGGAUCACCGUAAUGAUUAAUAGGGAUAGUUGGGGGCAUUAGUAUUCAAUUGUCAGAGGUGAAAUUCUUGGAUUUAUUGAAGACUAACUUCUGCGAAAGCAUUUGCCAAGGAUGUUUUCAUUAAUCAAGAACGAAAGUUAGGGGAUCGAAGACGAUCAGAUACCGUCGUAGUCUUAACCAUAAACUAUGCCGACUAGGGAUCGGACGAUGUUAAUUUUUUAAUGACUCGUUCGGCGCCUUACG
This 502-nucleotide ribosomal RNA is filed under the name uncultured Glomeromycotina. RNAcentral describes it as "partial small subunit ribosomal RNA". It matches the Rfam family "Eukaryotic small subunit ribosomal RNA", at positions 591 to 1092 of the family's 1831-position model. The record is from RNAcentral. Lineage: Eukaryota; Fungi; Glomeromycota.